AAACUUUUAAUAACGGAUCUCUUGGUUCUAGCAUCGAUAAAGAACGCAGCGAAAUGCGAUAAGUAAUAUGAAUUGCAGAAUUCAAUGAACCAUCGAAUCUUUAAACGCAUAUUGCGCCCGCCAGCACCCUGGCGGGCAUGCCUAUCCGAGCGUUAUUU
Molecule: ribosomal RNA, 158 nt
Filed under: Ophiocordyceps ferruginosa
Lineage: Eukaryota; Fungi; Ascomycota; Sordariomycetes; Hypocreales; Ophiocordycipitaceae
Description: 5.8S ribosomal RNA
Rfam family: 5.8S ribosomal RNA
About the family: 5.8S ribosomal RNA (5.8S rRNA) is a component of the large subunit of the eukaryotic ribosome.
Source: RNAcentral